Molecule: ribosomal RNA, 305 nt
Filed under: uncultured bacterium
Lineage: Bacteria
Description: bacterial SSU rRNA
Rfam family: Bacterial small subunit ribosomal RNA
Source: RNAcentral
UAAAUCCUACGGGACGCAGCAGUGGGGGAUAUUGCACAAUGGGGGGAACCCUGAUGCAGCGACGCCGCGUGGGCGAUGGAGUACUUCGGUAUGUAAAGCCCUAUCAGCAGGGAAGAAAAUGACGGUACCUGACUAAGAAGCCCCGGCUAAAUACGUGCCAGCAGCCGCGCUAAUACGUAUGGGGCAAGCGUUCUCCGGAUUUACUGGGUGUAAAGGGAGCGUAGGCGGCCUGGCAAGCCUGAUGUGAAAUACCGGGGCCCAACCCCGGGGCUGCAUUGGGAACUGCCAGGCUGGAGUGCCGGAGG